UCCCCGAUAGCUCAGUCGGUAGAGCGACGGACUGUUAAUCCGCAGGUCCCAGGUUCGAGCCUGGUCGGGGAGCCA
This 75-nucleotide transfer RNA is filed under the name Nitrosomonas europaea. RNAcentral's name for it is "tRNA-Asn". It matches the Rfam family "tRNA". From Rfam's summary of the family: Transfer RNA (tRNA) molecules are approximately 80 nucleotides in length. Their secondary structure includes four short double-helical elements and three loops (D, anti-codon, and T loops). Lineage: Bacteria; Pseudomonadati; Pseudomonadota; Betaproteobacteria; Nitrosomonadales; Nitrosomonadaceae. The record is from RNAcentral. RNAcentral also lists the same sequence under 1 other name.